AAAUUGGCACUCGAAGAGACCAUACACAUUGGAUGUGCACCUCAGUUCAGUGUUUACACAUCAGUAGAGCAACUUCUCAAUUUCAGUAAAAGAACUAACAUAGGACAAAUUUUUUGCUUGCACUGAAGAUUGGAUCUUUGUUCCUCAAAACAUUACAUUCUUUGUUCCUCGAUGCAAUAAAACUUAAAAAAUGGAACCUUUUGACAGUCAGAGAAUGAUCAUUUUUCUAAAAAAUAAGCAGAAGAAUUAUGGGAAAAAAAACUGGACCGGCCCUAGGACCUGGGCUAGCUUAAAGCCUCCGAGGCCCGUAGUAAGCCUAACUGUUCAUUAACCCAACUCUAAGGCCCAUUGGGCCCAAA
This 359-nucleotide unclassified non-coding RNA is filed under the name Hevea brasiliensis (rubber tree). Lineage: Eukaryota; Viridiplantae; Streptophyta; Magnoliopsida; Malpighiales; Euphorbiaceae. The record is from RNAcentral.